Molecule: small RNA, 18 nt
Filed under: Arabidopsis thaliana (thale cress)
Lineage: Eukaryota; Viridiplantae; Streptophyta; Magnoliopsida; Brassicales; Brassicaceae
Description: ATSL232170
Source: RNAcentral
ACAAAAACCAAAAAAAAA